AUUGAACGCUGGCGGCAUGCCUUACACAUGCAAGUCGAACGGUAACGGGCCUUCGGGUGCCGACGAGUGGCGAACGGGUGAGUAAUACAUCGGAACGUGCCCGAUCGUGGGGGAUAACGAGGCGAAAGCUUUGCUAAUACCGCAUACGAUCUACGGAUGAAAGCAGGGGACCGCAAGGCCUUGCGCGGACGGAGCGGCCGAUGGCAGAGUAGGUAGUUGGUGGGAUAAAAGCUUACCAAGCCGACGAUCUGUAGCUGGUCUGAGAGGAUGAUCAGCCACACUGGGACUGAGACACGGCCCAGACUCCUACGGGAGGCAGCAGUGGGGAAUUUUGGACAAUGGGCGCAAGCCUGAUCCAGCCAUGCCGCGUGCAGGAUGAAGGCCUUCGGGUUGUAAACUGCUUUUGUACGGAACGAAAAGCCUUCUUUUAAUACAGGAGGGUCAUGACGGUACCGUAAGAAUAAGCACCGGCUAACUACGU
This 481-nucleotide ribosomal RNA is filed under the name uncultured bacterium. RNAcentral's name for it is "partial 16S ribosomal RNA". It matches the Rfam family "Bacterial small subunit ribosomal RNA", at positions 30 to 506 of the family's 1533-position model. The record is from RNAcentral.